GAGGGUAUAGUUCAGUGGUAGAGCACAUGCUUAGCAUGCACAAGGUCCUGGGCUCAAUCCCCAGUACCUCCU
Molecule: transfer RNA, 72 nt
Filed under: Camelus bactrianus (Bactrian camel)
Lineage: Eukaryota; Metazoa; Chordata; Mammalia; Artiodactyla; Camelidae
Also listed under: 3 other names
Rfam family: tRNA
About the family: Transfer RNA (tRNA) molecules are approximately 80 nucleotides in length. Their secondary structure includes four short double-helical elements and three loops (D, anti-codon, and T loops).
Source: Rfam by way of RNAcentral